GUGUGAUCUGCCUCUGGAUUUUUCCUGCUACAAAUGAAUUCAUAUCCUCUCGUUAUAUCACAUGCAAUGUCUCUCAGACCCCAGCAUUUUAAACAGUGCUAAAAAUAUCACGGAUUUGAACAUUCUUUUAAAACAAACAAACAAAAAAAACAGAAAUGGCUAUGUCUUUUUUUUUUUUCUUUUCUUUUCCCCCCUCCAGCAAGUUCCUUGACGUAUCUGGGUCCUGUUCAGUCCUCCUUGAGGUUCUAAUGUGAUUUUCAGGCCUUGUUAGAGUGUCACAAACACAAUGGUGGAAUUCUUCGGCCUGUGGUCAUGUGACUCGACUUAGUAAAACAGGUGGCCCCACGGCUGGAACAUCUGGAAUUCGAACUCUCACAACUUCCAAACGAGCACCAAACGGCGACUGCACCUCACUGAGCGGCGUUUACUCCGACCGCACGUUUCGCACCAAUCCAACGAUUAAAAAUGUCUUCAAGUGUGAUUAUGGAGAGUUUAUAAAGUGUUAUAUUAGGACCAUGUGGAGUUAGAUAUCCUUAAUGUCUGUCUGCAGAGUAACGACGGAUGUCUGACUGAAAAUACACGAUGCGGACAAAAUAAGGGAAACGGCACGUGAAUAGGACGUGAAGUAAUUCAAUCUUAUAGAAGGAUGUGAAAGAGGACGCGCCAAAGGGAUUCGCUUCUGAUAGCGAUUCGUUCUGUAUCUACGAGUUAAUCUAGGUGAACUUUAACCCCGCAAAUCCCGAAAGCGUUAGCCGAUACGAAACGAGAGCGGUGCUGGGGGUCGUGCGCUUCUGGAAGACCUGUUUAUUAUUACAGUUUCAGAACAGCAGGAAAUAGUACAAACAUUCACAUUCUGAGCAACUGAUUAGCCGGCGCUAGCAUGCUAGCACAGACUAGCCGAAUGAUGAUAUUCUUUUUAAGCAGCUAACGAGCUAGUGUCAUUCACAAACACCGAACUAGCAGCUAGCAAGAUAACGUUAGCUGUUCACUGAAGCAGUACUUUCCGUCCAGGACCGCCCGGAAUCCUCCUUUUCUUUCACCACCCAGCUAUUAUCAGCUGAUUUUUAAUGAAUUAUUGUUUACGUCUAAUCCACACUGAGAAUGCUAGCUAGAUGGCUAAUGGAAGCUAACUGAAUCAGAAAACCUCUGUGUGCGAUCUCAAAUUUUGCAGAAAUUUUGGAAGGGUGUAUCUUUGAGUACAUAUUUAGUCUCAAAGACACGCCCACUGGUCAUCAGAUGGUCACUGGUCAUCACACACGUUUUCCCCAGCAGCAAAUUCAGAUCAUUUAGUCGUUUCUUUCAUUUUGUCCACUUCUGUGUCAGUUUACAGUCUCAAAAAUACAUGAAAAUGAGCCAAGACUGUGUGUGUGUGUGUGUGUGUGUAGAGGAGAGAGAGAGAGAGAGAGUGUAUGUGAAACACUUUUGGGUAUUACACAGUUAUAAUAAACCUCUUUAGCGGUGCC
Ictalurus punctatus (channel catfish) is the source of this 1463-nucleotide long non-coding RNA. The record is from Ensembl. Lineage: Eukaryota; Metazoa; Chordata; Actinopteri; Siluriformes; Ictaluridae.